Molecule: ribosomal RNA, 465 nt
Filed under: uncultured bacterium
Lineage: Bacteria
Description: partial 16S ribosomal RNA
Rfam family: Bacterial small subunit ribosomal RNA
Source: RNAcentral
CUACGGGGGGCUGCAGUGAGGAAUUUUGCGCAAUGGGGGCAACCCUGACGCAGCAACGCCGCGUGAGUGAAGAAGGCCCUUGGGUCGUAAAGCUCUGUCAAUGGGGAAGAAGUUACCUGGUAUUAAUAGUGCCUUGUAUUGACGGUACCCAUGAAGGAAGCACCGGCUAACUCCGUGCCAGCAGCCGCGGUAAUACGGGGGGUGCAUGCGUUAUUCGGAAUUAUUGGGCGUAAAGGGCACGCAGGCGGUCCUGUCAGUCAGAUGUGAAAGCCCAGGGCUCAACCCUGGACGUGCAUUUGAAACAGCAGGACUUGAGUACGGGAGAGGAAAGGGGAAUUCCUGGUGUAGAGGUGAAAUUCGUAGAUAUCAGGAGGAACACCGGUGGCGAAGGCGCCUUUCUGGACCGAUACUGACGCUGAGGUGCGAAGGCGUGGGUAGCGAACGGGAUUAGAUACCCGCGUAGUC